GUUAUGGAAUUAAAUAGUGGGAGUCCUUAAGUGGUAAUUAUUCCAUUAUUGUUGAUAGUGGAAUUCCAUGGCUUGGUAUAAUGGAAAUUAUUAAUGUAUAUUAAGGUUAAAUAUGGUAUUUGGUAAUUAUAAAAAAAAAAGAGAGACCUAAAUAGAGGUCUAAAAUCCAAUUCAAUUUUUGAAGGAAUGAACAACUUUACCUCCGGGGACCCCUUGUUGAUUUUCGAUCUCCUCAGAUCUGCUCUGGAAUCCACACCAUAUGCCUCCGUUUCUUUCCAUUUUAGUUUUCCACUUUGUCUCUUUCUAUUCUUUUUGUUGUCAUUUACUGUUUGUUUAUUGAGAAAUUCUUUCCUUGAAAGCGAUUUACUGGGUUGAUUCCGGAUCUGGAUUUGCAUGUAUAAAAUAUUAUAGAAUAUCUGAAUAGUCAAUAUGGGAGGAGGGUUCAGAGUACUGCAUCUGGUUAGACCAUUUCUUUCAUUUCUGCCUGAAGUUCAGAGUGCUGACAGGAAAAUUCUUUUAGAGAGAAGGUCAUCUGCACUGUCGUCUCCCUCUUCAUCUUUUUGGUGUGCGUCAGCUUCCACUAUAUGGAAUACACUCUCGACAGUGCUGAUCCUUUCUAUUGGAUGCGUGUUAUCCUUGCAUCAAACCGUGGAACUGUUAUGGAACUUGGUAUUACCCCCAUUGUGACAUCUGGAUUGGUGAUGCAACUCCUGGCUGGUUCAAAAAUCAUCGAGGUGGACAACAGUGUUCGUGAGGAGCGAGCACUCCUAUUGGCAAAAGUAGAAUUCGGAUUUGGAUCGGGGGGAAAAUCAAAAUGGUCGACUAGUCGUCUCGUUCCGAUUAUCGUCUUCCGAGAUAAGUCCUUAAGUAAUUAUAUUUGAUUUGCUGUGCGCUUAAGAUUAUAUAAUAUGAUAAGUAAUUAUUUGAUGUUUAUAAGUUCGAUUUGCAAUAAGUAUAUUGAAUUUCGGCUAUAAAGCCGAAUAUGAAAUGGAUGAUUUAUGUAUAUAAUGUGGCCGAAUGACUAUUAAGUGAUGAUGUGAAAGUGUGUAAUAUGUGUAUACAAUUUUAUUGUACUUGUUUGUAUAUAGUCGAAUGGUUAUUAAAAGUGAAACUAGUAUAAUGAAAA
This is a long non-coding RNA of Gossypium arboreum, 1126 nucleotides long. RefSeq lists it as uncharacterized. Lineage: Eukaryota; Viridiplantae; Streptophyta; Magnoliopsida; Malvales; Malvaceae. The transcript is spliced from 2 exons. The record is from RefSeq and is a predicted model, not a curated record.